AGCGGGUAAGCGAUUGAACGCGCGACAUCAACCUUGGCAAGGUUGCGCUCUACCACUGAGCUAUACCCGC
This 70-nucleotide transfer RNA is filed under the name Porphyra purpurea. Its description in RNAcentral is "transfer RNA-Gly". The record is from RNAcentral. Lineage: Eukaryota; Rhodophyta; Bangiophyceae; Bangiales; Bangiaceae.